Small nuclear RNA from Microcebus murinus (gray mouse lemur), 107 nucleotides. The record is from Ensembl. NCBI's taxonomy places the organism in Eukaryota, Metazoa, Chordata, Mammalia, Primates, Cheirogaleidae.
GUGCUUGCUUUGGCAGCACAUACACUAAAUUUGGAACGAUACAGAGAAGAGUAGCAUGGCCCCUGCGCAAGGAUGACACGCAAAUUUUUGAAGUGUUCCAUGUUAAA